Molecule: long non-coding RNA, 1211 nt
Organism: Pseudomyrmex gracilis
Lineage: Eukaryota; Metazoa; Arthropoda; Insecta; Hymenoptera; Formicidae
Exons: 2
Source: RefSeq, a predicted model, not a curated record
UUUAGCGCUCAAGAUUCUUCGUAUGUUUUCGGAUUUACACGAAAGAAUGGAUAUUGACGGCUUCUAAAUUUGUUCAAUGAGAGAAUAUCCCAGGAGCUCGAAAACUCGUCCGUUUGCGUGCAUAUAUCCCCUACCAGAAAAUUCUCUCACUUCACAGCCAUUGGCUGUGUACCGCGCGCUAUCCUCUUUUUGCUCGCUUUUCUUUUCCUGUGCGCAGACCGAGGAUAUUCUCUCAUUGAACAGAAUGUAAUCGUGAUAACAGCAAAUCUUACAUGAAGAGAAACUCUUGUUUCCGACGGGUUUGGUGUAAAGUUGCGUUCAAAGCGAGUCGGUCACGUGAUGGCGUUUCGAUCGCAGGCGGAUUUCGUCCGGUCUCGCACCUUGUCACACAUUACGGAGUGAAAAAUAAAAAUAAAUAAUCGAGCAGCGUAAAAAAACCAAGAUUUGUCCUACGAUGUCUGUUGGUUCAUUCCGCAUUUGGAGCGGACCGAUAUAGACUCAAAAGAUGAAUACGCUAAUUAUCGUCGAAUAUCGAACGCGAUUAUUAUUCAAUCAACCGAUGCAGAAAUGUGUUUAAAACUUAAUCACGCUUUAUUCAAUUCAUCAAAGUGAAGUAGCUUAAAUGAUAAUGGCCAAUUAAUCACUUUAGUUUAUGCGCUCCAACAGUAAGUAGAGAGAUGUGUACGUGUAUGUACAUUAUGCCUAAAACCUGAACAACGCGAUGACGCACUAGUAUUUUAAUGUGACUGGAAAUUCAUAGAGAGAGAGAGAGAGAGAGAGAUGAAUUGGAAUAAUCGCGGAAAUAAUAUAAGGUAUUGUUACAUAUAUAUUAUCUGUUUUAUUCACCAAUUCUAACCAGCUUAUACAUUACGACUCUUACGGUAUAUAAGAAAUAUAUAUAUAUAUAUAAUUGUAUAUAUAUAUUUAAAUGAGAGAAUACAGCAUAACACUACAGGAACGUAUGUUUCUUCUUUUCAGUAAAUUUAUAUAUUUAUAUAUUAAAAAAAAAAAACCUUGCGACACCGCGUUGGGAUUUUUCUGCAAAACCUUUUCCCACCCUGGUAAAUCGUUUAUCAACGUUUACUCGCGUCCAAGUGCUUCGUUACGUAAAUGCGUAUUAUUGUCUCUUCUAUCCGUAAAAAGACAUUAUUGAAGAAAAAACCUAACAAGGGAAUAUCUGUACGUGCAGAGAGAGAAAGAAAAAAAAAAAA